CCAAACCGUUCCAAUAGUCG
Molecule: microRNA, 20 nt
Filed under: Echinococcus granulosus
Lineage: Eukaryota; Metazoa; Platyhelminthes; Cestoda; Cyclophyllidea; Taeniidae
Description: egr-miR-10253-5p
Source: miRBase by way of RNAcentral